Molecule: microRNA precursor, 206 nt
Organism: Oryza sativa Indica Group (long-grained rice)
Lineage: Eukaryota; Viridiplantae; Streptophyta; Magnoliopsida; Poales; Poaceae
Rfam family: MIR812 microRNA precursor family
Source: Rfam
UUUAAGUGUAGUUGCGGGUUUUCGUGUUCAAUGUUGAUCAUCCGUCUUAUUUAAAAAAUUUUGUAUGAUUAUUAUUUUUAUUGUUAUUAGAUGGUAGAACAUGAAUAGUACUUUAUGUGUGACUUAUUUUUUAAAGUAUUUUCACAAUCUUUUCAAAUAAGAUGAAUGGUUAACGUUGUACACGGAAACUUACAACUGCACUUAAA